GGGGCCGUCCCGGAUUCGACAGGUUGGUGAAAGCCGACCCGUGAUGCAGGUCGAGAGUGAGUCUACUCUCGUAAAUUCAGGCUCAACUUCAAAAGUAACCUAUGGACAAAACCCCAACGGAUGCGCACUUUAAUUGCCUCUGGUCGAUUGAGUGCAAAGACUUCACCAGAGAUCCCCACCAUCCGGGAUAAAGGAUGAUUCCUGCCCAGAGGAUUAGAUGGGCUAAACCUGUGAAAGAACGGUAGGGAAAUAUCCAGCCUGGACAGCAGUUCAACUCUGCUCGGCUCCAUUU
RNAcentral lists this transfer-messenger RNA (292 nucleotides) under Cyanobacteria bacterium QH_7_48_89. It matches the Rfam family "transfer-messenger RNA". Rfam says of the family: Bacterial tmRNA, also known as 10Sa RNA or SsrA, is named for its dual tRNA and mRNA-like properties. Lineage: Bacteria; Bacillati; Cyanobacteriota. The record is from RNAcentral.